UACGGAGGGUGCAAGCGUUAUCCGGAUUCGCUGGGUUUAAAGGGUGCGUAGGAGGGCAGGUAAGUCAGUGGUGAAAUCCCCGAGCUUAACUUGGGAACUGCCGUUGAUACUAUCUGUCUUGAAUACCGUGGAGGUGAGCGGAAUAUGUCAUGUAGCGGUGAAAUGCUUAGAUAUGACAUAGAACACCAAUUGCGAAGGCAGCUCGCUACACGAAUAUUGACUCUGAGGCACGAAAGCGUGGGGAUCAAACAGG
RNAcentral lists this ribosomal RNA (253 nucleotides) under uncultured bacterium. Its description in RNAcentral is "partial 16S ribosomal RNA". It matches the Rfam family "Bacterial small subunit ribosomal RNA", at positions 524 to 776 of the family's 1533-position model. The record is from RNAcentral.